Molecule: ribosomal RNA, 465 nt
Filed under: uncultured bacterium
Lineage: Bacteria
Description: partial 16S ribosomal RNA
Rfam family: Bacterial small subunit ribosomal RNA
Source: RNAcentral
CCUACGGGAGGCAGCAGUAGGGAAUCUUCCACAAUGGGCGCAAGCCUGAUGGAGCAACACCGCGUGAGUGAAGAAGGGUUUCGGCUCGUAAAGCUCUGUUGUUGGAGAAGAACGUGCGUGUGAGUAACUGUUCACGCAGUGACGGUAUCCAUCCAGAAAGUCCCGGCUAACUACGUGCCAGCAGCCGCGGUAAUACGUAGGUGGCAAGCGUUAUCCGGAUUUAUUGGGCGUAAAGGGAGCGCAGACGGUUGCGUAGGUCUGAUGUGAAAGCCUUGGGCUUAACCGAUGGAGUGCAUCGGAAACCGGGCGGCUGGAGUGCAGAAGAGGACAGUGGAACUCCAUGUGUAGCGGUGGAAUGCGUAGAUAUAUGGAAGAACACCAGUGGCGAAGGCAGCUGACUAGUCUGCAACUGACGCUGAGGCUCGAAAGCAUGGGUAGCGAACAGGAUUAGAUACCCUGGUAGUC